Helianthus annuus (common sunflower) is the source of this 1514-nucleotide long non-coding RNA. RefSeq lists it as uncharacterized. The record is from RefSeq and is a predicted model, not a curated record. The transcript is spliced from 3 exons. Lineage: Eukaryota; Viridiplantae; Streptophyta; Magnoliopsida; Asterales; Asteraceae.
UAAGUUUUAAAUAAAUGAAAGAAGUUCAAAAAGUUAGAAAAAUUAUACAAGAAUGACAACUUAAAGAAUACAAGGGCUGAUUAUGUAAAUGUUGAAACUAAACAAGGAAUAAAAAAAAAAGAAAGUGCAGUGUGUGUUGGUGGGGUGUGCGACGCAGGAAAGGGGAGGAGAGGGGAAAACCCUUCUUCUCCAAAUCAUCAAGAACUUAUCAAUUGGAGGCGUUUAUGGAUGAAAUUCGUAUGCAUGUGAUCGAUUUCUCAAUCAUCUAAGGGUUUCCAACAUGGGGAACGUGUCAAGGAGAGGUCAAGCAUAGGAGGAUAACGGGUCAAGAUAAGGCAAGGUGACAAAUACACUUAUUGGAGUACUCGAGGUAAGUGAAUUUCGAUUCACUUUUUAGUAGGUUUAAUAGAUUUUAAUACUUAUGUUUAUGAAACAUCAUGAAAGAACAUGUAAUAAUCAGAAGUACAAAGCUAAUAAUGCCUCAUUAUUGAAGAAGGUUGUUAUUUAAGCCGAAAGUAAAUUGGUGGGUUUAAACGGGUCAAAUUUUAUGUGAAUGUGUUGCGUAAUGUAAUGAAAUUCGUUAUGGUUAAGACCUUGGGUAAGAAUUUUUAGUCAUUUAUGUAAGGGGAACAUUUUCCGGACCAUUAGGAACAAGUUUUAUAUGAUUUGGUUGUGUAUGGGUCAGGAUAUGGUAGUUUUAAUGUUUAAAAUGGAAGUUGAGUUGGGCACUACCGUAGCUUACGGUAGCCACCGUAAGCUACGGUGGGUUCUGAAGUCUUUCUGGCCACCGUAAGGCAGUAGCACUUCACCGUAAGGGUUUUAUGGCCACCGUAAGCUACGGUAGCCACCGUAGCUUACGGUGGAGCUGUCGCGCCCUGCGUAAUAGUAAGCUAUGGCUUACGCGACCCGCGAGGGACCGUGCUGUUGGCUUUUUGCUGAAAUUGUGAUGUUUUGAGUAUGGGACUUGUCUAAAAAUGAUUUUUCUAAGGCCACAUACGUUAUGUUAAGGAUGGUUUCGUAUAUCAAUGAUGUUAAAGGUUGUCGGUUAGUGAAUGAACGGAUUGUUUCGUGUUAGUGUAGGAAAUUUAUAAGUAUAUAUAUAUAUGUAUGUAUGUAUGUAUGAUAAUAAGUAUGUAGGUGCGAAUGUAUGUGUGAAUGAAUGUUCAAUGCUUAAGACAUAUGCAUGAACGUUAUCAAAGUGCUCGAGUAUUUAUGGUUACUAAUGAUGUGCGUUGAGUUGGAAUGUAAUGUAGGUAUGGGAUUGUUGGCUUCAUGAAGAAAUGGAGCUGGAUUUGGAUAAGAGUAUCGCUUGGGUUUUCUCUACAUUUAUUGAAGUGAAGCGGACUUAGUUCGAGUUGAGAGCAAGGAUUGUACGGGGUAGAAUGGUCACAUAGUGUAACUCAUAUAGGUUUUGAAGUAUUAAUGUUAUAAAACGUUAUAAAUCCGUUUUAAUGAAUAUAUGGCAUUUCGCAUUUGAACCUUCAUGUGUUUGAUAUGUCUAUUAAAGAACGAAA